GAAGUCAGCAUACAGGAUUCUGUUGGGGAAGCCCUUUCUGCAGAUCCUGAUGCCUUCCAGCACACCGUUACAGCGCAGCUGGUGCAUGACCAGAGGAUUCUCCAUGGCCCCAGGAGUCUUGGUCUCAUUGGGGAUGAUGCAACGCACAAAGUGGGGAUGCAGGAUGCCUCUUGCAUUGGGUGAAUUUCUGUCAGGGACAGCAAGCAUGACCACACACAAGAGAGAUGCUGAUUCCUUUUGCUUUUAAGUUCCUUCUUCCCUCAACAUCUGCACAUCAGCCCCAACCAGGAGGCUCCAACCAAAAAAUUAUUAAAAAUGUGGGCCCAGUGUACACUUGUAGAUCACCGUCAAUGUAGUCUCAGGAAAGUGUUUUCUUUCCACAGGGACCACAGAAGCAUCUGAACAGGUGAUGUAUCGUUAUUCUGAAAGGUAUAUUUGACCUCACUUCAAAAAUAUUAAGAAGGAAUACAAUCUGAUACUUUUAUAAUAACACUACUACUCAUAACCAUUUUAUGGCCAAUUCACUAUUCUAGGUCAUUCUUGGAGUUGCCCCAACCUCCGGUCAAUAACAGAUUCUGCACGCAGCUCUUUACUGUGUAGAACUUUUGCAUUGUGUAGAAUUUUGCAUUGUAUGGACUUCUUGUUACAUGCUUUAUUUGAUAUAGAAAAACAUUUAGUCUCUAGUGUAGCAUUGCUAAGCAAGUGCACCUCUUGUUCUGAAUGUACACUGCCUUCACUAUAUUAUUAUUAUUAUUAUUGCGUUCUCUAACUGGUUAGCAUUACUCAAAUUGAUUUCAACAGAAUAUUGUCAUAGAAUAAUGUUGUCAUAUGUAUUCAAGGCUGUUAACAAGACACUGUUUGAAUACAGUGGUCUAAAAUGUAAGUACACUUCGGAUGAUGCAGAUACGGAGGCUAAAUUGUAAUGACACGAAAAGGGUUACUGUUCAAGACAAUGUAUAGAUACGGUCACACCUUUACCAUUGUUGAUGGCAAGAAUUUCCCUCCCUCAUAUUCAGUGUCAUCUUUGUUUUGUAUAUACAAUUGGUAAAUAACCCAAUUAAAUUUGAGACACACUGUAACUAUUACUCACAAUGUUAUCCAAACUUAAACGAGGUGUUAAAUGUUUGUCUUUUACUAUGAUACCAUUUGACGUAUGUUAUCUGUAUUUUUUUAAAUUAAAAUCAGUGUUUUUUUAUAUGAUUGUGUUAAAUAAUAGUGCAUUUUAUUCUUCCAAAAUGUCUAGAAAUCCUAUUCAUAAGGGCAUCAACACCAACCUUGAUAUCUAUACCAGACGUGAAAAACCUUUGGCACAAAAGGUAACAUAUUACAAGCAAUAUACAGAGAUGCAAUUUAAAUGUACUUUAUUAUUUAUUCUGCUCAGUAACAUUUAGAAAAACUAAAGCAAUAAAGUCAGGAGAUUUUCAGAAAAAUCCA
This is a long non-coding RNA of Oncorhynchus mykiss (rainbow trout), 1434 nucleotides long. RefSeq lists it as uncharacterized. The record is from RefSeq and is a predicted model, not a curated record. NCBI's taxonomy places the organism in Eukaryota, Metazoa, Chordata, Actinopteri, Salmoniformes, Salmonidae.